This 258-nucleotide ribosomal RNA is filed under the name Burkholderia sp. ISO93_OTU58. RNAcentral's name for it is "partial 16S ribosomal RNA". It matches the Rfam family "Bacterial small subunit ribosomal RNA", at positions 30 to 289 of the family's 1533-position model. The record is from RNAcentral. Lineage: Bacteria; Pseudomonadati; Pseudomonadota; Betaproteobacteria; Burkholderiales; Burkholderiaceae.
UUGAACGCUGGCGGCAUGCCUUACACAUGCAAGUCGAACGGCAGCACGGGGGCAACCCUGGUGGCGAGUGGCGAACGGGUGAGUAAUACAUCGGAACGUGUCCUGGAGUGGGGGAUAGCCCGGCGAAAGCCGGAUUAAUCCCGCAUACGCUCUACGGAGGAAAGGGGGGGAUCGCAAGACCUCUCGCUCAAGGGGCGGCCGAUGGCAGAUUAGCUAGUUGGUGGGGUAAAGGCCUACCAAGGCGACGAUCUGUAGCUG